UUCGCAAUGCCCGAAAGGGUGACGAAGCGACGCCGCGUGGGUGAAGAAGGCCUUCGGGUUGUAAAGCCCUGUCAGGAGUUAUGAAAUGUAGGUGCGAUAAUACCGUGCCUAUUUGACAAAGGCUCCAAAGGAAGCCACGGCUAACUCUGUGCCAGCAGUCGCGGUGAUACAGAGGUGGCAAGCGUUGUUCGGAAUUAUUGGGCGUAAAGAGCACGUAGGUGGGUUUGUAAGUCAGAUGUGAAAGCCUUCUGUUCAACGGAAGAAUUGCAUCUGAAACUGCGAGUCUUGAGUGUAGGAGGGGAGAAUGGAACUUCUGGUGGAGCGGUGAAAUGCGUAGAUAUCAGAAGGAACGCCGGCGGCGAAAGCGAUUCUCUGGCCUAUUACUGACACUGAGUGUGCGAAAGCUAGGGGAGCAAACGGGAUUGGAUACCCCGGUAGUCCUAGCUGUAAACGAUGGGCACUAAGUAGAGGGGUUUU
This 477-nucleotide ribosomal RNA is filed under the name Candidatus Scalindua marina (nom. nud.). RNAcentral describes it as "bacterial SSU rRNA". It matches the Rfam family "Bacterial small subunit ribosomal RNA", at positions 365 to 832 of the family's 1533-position model. The record is from RNAcentral. Lineage: Bacteria; Pseudomonadati; Planctomycetota; Candidatus Brocadiia; Candidatus Brocadiales; Candidatus Scalinduaceae.